CACCGAACCUCAAGAAUCAAGAACAAGUUCCCUCCACCGAUGGAUCAAUAGAAGGUUUAGUUCUCCAUAAAAAUGGAGCAGCCGCUUUUCUGUUCUACAGUGUGUGAAUACAGACUCUGCAGCCCUAGCUGCGUUUUCUAGUUUAAAUAUUAUGGGCUUUAAAAGUUACGGGCCGAAAACAUAAGUUUGGGUCGAAAAUAAAUUAAGUUAUCACGUUUGGAACAUAAACGCAAUUAUUUGACACACUUGCGCUCCGAACUGGGUUUUGGCCUUAACAUGAAAGUUGUAGCUCUUGAUCUCAGCUUUCCAACGCAUCUUCCCUCUCCUCAAUCCGAUAUUCG
Molecule: long non-coding RNA, 341 nt
Filed under: Trifolium pratense (red clover)
Lineage: Eukaryota; Viridiplantae; Streptophyta; Magnoliopsida; Fabales; Fabaceae
Description: long non-coding RNA (TPRA_LNC005487)
Source: RNAcentral